Molecule: ribosomal RNA, 478 nt
Filed under: uncultured bacterium
Lineage: Bacteria
Description: partial 16S ribosomal RNA
Rfam family: Bacterial small subunit ribosomal RNA
Source: RNAcentral
GAUGAACGCUGGCGGCGUGCUUAACACAUGCAAGUCGAACGGGAAACCUUUUAUUGAAGCUUCGGCAGAUUUAGCUGGUUUCUAGUGGCGGACGGGUGAGUAACGCGUGGGUAACCUGCCCUAUACAGGGGGAUAACAACCAGAAAUGGUUGCUAAUACCGCAUAAGCGCACAGGGCCGCAUGGUCCGGUGUGAAAAACUCCGGUGGUAUAGGAUGGACCCGCGUUGGAUUAGCCAGUUGGCAGGGUAACGGCCUACCAAAGCGACGAUCCAUAGCCGGCCUGAGAGGGUGAACGGCCACAUUGGGACUGAGACACGGCCCAGACUCCUACGGGAGGAAGCAGUGGGGAAUAUUGCACAAUGGGGGAAACCCUGAUGCAGCGACGCCGCGUGAAGGAAGAAGUAUCUCGGUAUGUAAACUUCUAUCAGCAGGGAAGAUAGUGACGGUACCUGACUAAGAAGCCCCGGCUAACUACGUG